UGUGUAGGCGGUUCCCUAAGUUUGGUGUGAAAUCUCCCGGCUCAACUGGGAGGGUGCGCCGAAAACUGGGGGGCUAGAGUGUGGGAUGGGAGAGUGGAAUUCCUGGUGUAGCGGUGAAAUGCGUAGAUAUCAGGAGGAACACCUGUGGUGUAGACGGCUCUCUGGACCGCAACUGACGCUGAGACACGAAAGCGUGGGUAGCAAACAGGAUUAGAUACCCUGGUAGUCCACGCCCUAAACGAUGCAUAUUUGGUGUGGGCCAUUCAUUUGGUCCGUGCCGGAGCUAACGCGUUAAAUAUGCCGCCUGGGGAGUACGGUCGCAAGGCUGAA
This 330-nucleotide ribosomal RNA is filed under the name uncultured bacterium. RNAcentral's name for it is "bacterial SSU rRNA". It matches the Rfam family "Bacterial small subunit ribosomal RNA", at positions 568 to 898 of the family's 1533-position model. The record is from RNAcentral.